RNAcentral lists this ribosomal RNA (253 nucleotides) under uncultured bacterium. RNAcentral's name for it is "partial 16S ribosomal RNA". It matches the Rfam family "Bacterial small subunit ribosomal RNA", at positions 524 to 776 of the family's 1533-position model. The record is from RNAcentral.
UACGGGGGGGGCAAGCGUUGUUCGGAAUUACUGGGCGUAAAGGGCGUGUAGGCGGCCAACUAAGUCCGGGGUGAAAGCCCCCAGCUCAACUGGGGAAGUGCCUUGGAAACUGGUCGUCUUGAGGGAGGUAGGGGCAUGUGGAACUUCGGGUGGAGCGGUGAAAUGCGUUGAUAUCCGAAGGAACGCCGGUGGCGAAAGCGACGUGCUGGAUCUCUUCUGACGCUGAGGCGCGAAAGCCAGGGUAGCGAACGGG